Molecule: long non-coding RNA, 568 nt
Organism: Rhagoletis pomonella (apple maggot)
Lineage: Eukaryota; Metazoa; Arthropoda; Insecta; Diptera; Tephritidae
Exons: 3
Source: RefSeq, a predicted model, not a curated record
GUCAAGUAUGUCUUGACGUAUCGGCUAAACCAAGACGUACUCGAAAAUUUCUUCGGCAUUAUUCGGUCAAAAGGCGGGUUACAUGAUCACCCUGACCAACAGGAAUUCAAGUACCGUCUGCGACUAUACCUGCUGGGACACAACAAGGGCGUAUUAUCCGAUUCUGCUAAUGUAGAAGAGGAUGAUACGCCUGACAUAGAAAUCACGCAGCCUCCGCUUACAAGUAUUUUGCUGAAAAACUUAAGCUCUAAUGCAGAACUGUGGCCGGUUGAAGAAGCGGAAUUCGAGGAUUUGGAGCUAGACGGACUCGAGCAUUUAGCGGGAUAUAUUUGCCACAAGCUGCAGGAUGACAUUCCCAGCACGUCGUUCAGGAGCAAUGACGACCAUUCAUUCUCCUGGGCGGAUCACCUUAAUGAGGCAUGAAUCAAUGUCCGCAUUUCACACGCACUGAUCUCAGUAUUUCAGACUCCUAAAAUUAAAAUACUUGCAUGCUACGUAAGUCCCUAGUUUUAAAAAAUCAUCAAGCGUCUUUUAUACAAAUAUAAACUUAUUUAUUUGCAGGCAAGUA